UAUCACCUACGGCGCGCAGCAGUGGGGAAUAUUGCACAAUGGGGGAAACCCUGAUGCAGCGACGCCGCGUGAAGGAUGAAGUAUUUCGGUAUGUAAACUUCUAUCAGCAGGGAAGAAAAUGACGGUACCUGACCAAGAAGCCCCGGCUAACUACGUGCCAGCAGCCGCGGUAAUACGUAGGGGGCAGGCGUUAUCCGGAUUUACUGGGUGUAAAGGGAGCGUAGACGGUAUGGCAAGUCUGAUGUGAAAACCCGGGGCUCAACCCCGGGACUGCAUUGGAAACUGCCGAACUAGAGUGUCGGAGG
Molecule: ribosomal RNA, 305 nt
Filed under: uncultured bacterium
Lineage: Bacteria
Description: bacterial SSU rRNA
Rfam family: Bacterial small subunit ribosomal RNA
Source: RNAcentral